This 1616-nucleotide long non-coding RNA is filed under the name Sinocyclocheilus grahami. RNAcentral's name for it is "lncRNA (ENSSGRG00000036798.1)". Lineage: Eukaryota; Metazoa; Chordata; Actinopteri; Cypriniformes; Cyprinidae. The record is from RNAcentral.
GGCGGGUGUUGUUUGUCUGAAGGAUCGCUCGGCUGCCCAAUCAGAGCGCAGGGUGAGCGCCGGAAGAUCGCUGCAGCAGCAGCAGCAGCACACGGGACCGAAAUGGCGUAGCGCGCAGUCCACUGCUGCAGCAGCGCAGCGGGGCCAGGCUCACCGAACAUCCCAGAGCCUGGCCCGCCGUACUCCAACCGACGAGUAUGAUGGAGGUGGCUUUUAGUUUCAGUUCAUCCGCUUCGAAACCAGCACGAGAUCACCGGAGACGUGCCCUUCACAUGUCAAAUCAAGAAGAGAAAGGAACAGUCCAGAAAGGAACUCAUGACCAGAUAAGAUCGUCAUGUCUUUGUUCUUCAAACUGCUCUCCAUCCCGAUAAGUUGACUUUCCUCCAGCGUUAUUUCAGGGAAGUGUUUGUUCAACAUGCCAACUGUCACUGGUCUAUGAAAAUAUAAUCUCUGCACUUUGGAGACGACAACUGAAGUUGUUUUUAUCCAUGAAAGAACCAUAAACUCAUCAUGUGUCCAAAAAAGUUAAGUAACACAAUUGUGCCACAGUAAAGAGCCAUCAUCUGGUCAUAUUUGUUAUAAAUAAAUCAAGUGGAGUACUUAUGUUGCAGGUUGUGUUAAAAUGAAGUGAAAAAGGAAAUGGCGAAAGUGCACUUGCUUUGCAGGUAAAACAAAUGCACAUUUAAAAACGAAAUCAUGCAAGCAAGAUAAAGUAGCUUCAUCCAACAAUUUUAUUAUCUGCAGACUAAGUGCCUAGAUGCAUCUCUUUGGAAAAGCUUCUGUCUCUUGCUUGUCUAUUUCCAUGGCUUAGCUUUAAACCUACAAGUAAAGCACUACUUGGUCAUUUAUUUAGUCUUAAAAUGGCUGAAAAUUUAAUUUCUGAGACAACAAACUGUAGACAGAUAGCUGUUCUCUUAAUUCAGAACUCAUAUUGGUGCUUUUGCAAAACCAUGAAUCAUGCUUUCAUGUUUUCUGUGUACUUGAGAAACCAAGACAGACAGUGUGGCACACUGACCCGAGCAUAAGCUUUAUAAAUUCCACAGUUAAACCUUUCUAGUGAGAGUGGGGUGCUAAUGAGAUGCAGGACAUAAUGAAUUAUAAUUAUUUUACUACCUCAGAAGUUACCACAGCUCAGACCCACACUCCGAUCAACCGAUAUGCACAUGCUUUUCUCACAGUGAUGUAAAUAGAGUCAUUGUCUGUCAAAUGGUUUGGGAAUCAGUUGGAAGAGGAGUGAGCAUGUUUCUUUUCACUUUUUGUACAUUAUUUUAUUAAUAUGUUUUGGGAAUAUCACACAAAUCAUAUAGAUACCUUGAAGUUCACUGGUUUGACACUGGUGGCCAAAAGUUUGGAAUAAUCAAGUUUUGAAAGAAGUCUCUUCUGCUCACGAAGGCUGCAUUGAUUUGAUCAAAAAUACAGUAAAAACAGUAAUAUUGGGAAAUUAUUAUUACAAUUUAAAAUAACUGGUUUCUAUUUGAAUAUGUAAAGAAAAAACUGAAAUUUAUUCCUGUGAUGGCAAAGCUGAAUUUUCAGCAGGCAUUACUUGGUGUCACAUUAUCCUUCAUUAUUGUUAUCAGUGUAAAAAUGUUUUUGCUGCUUAAGAUUUUUGUGGAGAC